RNAcentral lists this ribosomal RNA (253 nucleotides) under uncultured bacterium. RNAcentral's name for it is "partial 16S ribosomal RNA". It matches the Rfam family "Bacterial small subunit ribosomal RNA", at positions 524 to 776 of the family's 1533-position model. The record is from RNAcentral.
UACGUAGGGCGCAAGCGUUGUCCGGAAUUAUUGGGCGUAAAGGGCUCGUAGGCGGUCCGUCACGUCGGGAGUGAAAACUUGGGGCUUAACCCCAAGCCUGCUUCCGAUACGGGCAGACUAGAGUUCGGUAGGGGAGUCUGGAAUUCCUGGUGUAGCGGUGAAAUGCGCAGAUAUCAGGAGGAACACCGGUGGCGAAGGCGGGACUCUGGGCCGAUACUGACGCUGAGGAGCGAAAGCGUGGGGAGCAAACAGG